AAGAAAGUGCAGUACUCCACCCUCGUUUUGAGAAACCCCCCAGAAAGAGGAAUUUUUUUUUUUUUUUAAUAUUAGAGGGCCCUAGGUGCAUGUCAUGCAGGAGCCGCUAGGUGGCGGUGUAGCGAGAGGGCGCAAAGCGGCAGAUGAGAAGCCUCUCUGGACAGACCCCGUGGCAGAAGAGGAAGCAGCACGUGGGGCGGCGCUCUACGGUGUCCGAGGGACAGCGGCUGCUCUCUGAGCCCUAAAUCCAGAAGCGCACGGGAAGCUGCAGCGACAGUGGAUUCUGUAGUCGGAGCCCCAGAGGGCGCCCGGAAGCCGGCACCAUGGUGAAGGAGUGGUUCUGGGAGACCAAUGUAGCUAAGAAAAUGGAAGACGCGGCCGGUGGCGGAGCCUGGGGUUCCAGGAGAACUUGAAUCCCUUAGUUGUUCUGAAUUUGUUUAAGCGCAUCCUCGCUGAAGAUGUCCUUUUACUUCUGAUGAACCCAGAAGCUGGAAAGCCCUCUGAUUUGAUUCUCACCCGACUUUUGGUGCCUCCCUUGUGUAUCAGACCCUCUGUCAUGAGCGAUUUGAAGUCUGGAACCAAUGAAGAUGACCUGAGAAUGAAACUGACAGAGAUCAUUUUCCUAAAUGAUGCUAUUAAAAAGCACUGGAUCUCAGGAGCCAAGACACAGCUGAUAAUGGAGAACUGGGAUUUCCUGCAGCUGCAGUGUGCCCUCUACAUCAACAGUGAGCUCUCUGGCAUCCCCCUCAACAUGGCCCCCAAGAAGUGGACUUGAGGCUUUGUCCAGCGCCUGAAGGGGAAGCA
Molecule: non-coding RNA, 804 nt
Organism: Peromyscus maniculatus bairdii (prairie deer mouse)
Lineage: Eukaryota; Metazoa; Chordata; Mammalia; Rodentia; Cricetidae
Source: RefSeq, a predicted model, not a curated record